This 503-nucleotide ribosomal RNA is filed under the name uncultured bacterium. RNAcentral's name for it is "partial 16S ribosomal RNA". It matches the Rfam family "Bacterial small subunit ribosomal RNA", at positions 29 to 523 of the family's 1533-position model. The record is from RNAcentral.
AACGAACGCUGGCGGCGUGUUUAAGACAUGCAAGUCGCACGGGAUAAGACAUGUAGUAAUACUUGUUUUAUUUAGUGGCGCACGGGUGAGUAACACGUGAAUUACAUGCCCUAUAGUGGGGAAUAGCCCAGGGAAACUUGGAUUAAUACCCCAUGGUAUCGAAAGAUUAAAGGUGGCCGCAAGGCUGUAGCUAUAGGAUUGGUUCGCGCCCUAUCAGCUUGUUGGUGAGGGAACGGCUCACCAAGGCAAUGACGGGUACCUGGUCUGAGAGGACGAUCAGGCACACUGGAACUGAGACACGGUCCAGACACCUACGGGUGGCAGCAGUCGAGAAUAAUUCACAAUGGGGGCAACCCUGAUGGUGCAACGCCGCGUGGAGGAUGACGGUCUUCGGAUUGUAAACUCCUGUCAUCUGGGAGAAAGACCUGACGGUAAAUAGCCGGCAGGGUUGAUAGUACCAGAAGAGGAAGGGACGGCUAACUUCGUGCCAGCAGCCGCCGUAA